This 492-nucleotide ribosomal RNA is filed under the name uncultured bacterium. RNAcentral describes it as "partial 16S ribosomal RNA". It matches the Rfam family "Bacterial small subunit ribosomal RNA", at positions 29 to 507 of the family's 1533-position model. The record is from RNAcentral.
AGUGAACGCUGGCGGUAGGCCUAACACAUGCAAGUCGAACGGCAGCACAGUAAGAGCUUGCUCUUACGGGUGGCGAGUGGCGGACGGGUGAGGAAUACAUCGGAAUCUACUUUUUCGUGGGGGAUAGCGUAGGGAAACUUACGCUAAUACCGCAUACGACCUACGGGUGAAAGCAGGGGAUCUUCGGACCUUGCGCGAUUGAAUGAGCCGAUGUCGGAUUAGCUAGUUGGCGGGGUAAAGGCCCACCAAGGCGACGAUCCGUAGCUGGUCUGAGAGGAUGAUCAGACACACUGGAACUGAGACACGGUCCAGACUCCUACGGGAGGAAGCAGUGGGGAAUAUUGGACAAUGGGCGCAAGCCUGAUCCAGCCAUACCGCGUGGGUGAAGAAGGCCUUCGGGUUGUAAAGCCCUUUUGUUGGGAAAGAAAAGCAGCAGGUUAAUACCCCGCUGUUCUGACGGUACCCAAAGAAUAAGCACCGGCUAACUUCGUG